This 492-nucleotide ribosomal RNA is filed under the name uncultured bacterium. RNAcentral describes it as "partial 16S ribosomal RNA". It matches the Rfam family "Bacterial small subunit ribosomal RNA", at positions 29 to 507 of the family's 1533-position model. The record is from RNAcentral.
AGUGAACGCUGGCGGUAGGCCUAACACAUGCAAGUCGAACGGCAGCACAGUAAGAGCUUGCUCUUACGGGUGGCGAGUGGCGGACGGGUGAGGAAUACAUCGGAAUCUACUUUUUCGUGGGGGAUAACGUAGGGAAACUUACGCUAAUACCGCAUACGACCUACGGGUGAAAGCAGGGGAUCUUCGGACCUUGCGCGAUUGAAUGAGCCGAUGUCGGAUUAGAUAGUUGGCGGGGUAAAGGCCCACCAAGGCGACGAUCCGUAGCUGGUCUGAGAGGAUGAUCAGCCACACUGGAGCUGAGACACGGUCCAGACUACUACGGGAGGCAGCAGUGGGGAAUAUUGGACGAUGGGCGCAAGCCUGAUCCAGCCAUACCGCGUGGGUGAAGAAGGCCUUCGGGUUGUAAAGCCCUUUUGUUGGGAAAGAAAAGCAGCAGGUUAAUACCCCGCUGUUCUGACGGUACCCAAAGAAUAAGCACCGGCUAACUUCGUG